Molecule: non-coding RNA, 21 nt
Filed under: Caenorhabditis elegans
Lineage: Eukaryota; Metazoa; Nematoda; Chromadorea; Rhabditida; Rhabditidae
Source: RNAcentral
UAUUUUUUCUAGACCCAUAUG